RNAcentral lists this ribosomal RNA (502 nucleotides) under uncultured bacterium. Its description in RNAcentral is "partial 16S ribosomal RNA". It matches the Rfam family "Bacterial small subunit ribosomal RNA", at positions 28 to 507 of the family's 1533-position model. The record is from RNAcentral.
GAUUAACGCUGGCGGCGUGCCUAACACAUGCAAGUCGAGCGGCAGCGAGUUUUACACUGAAUUCUGGAAGCUUCUAGUUGAAAGAGAAGAUUUAUUCAAGAAUUUUGUGUAAAAUGUCGGCGAGCGGCGGACGGCUGAGUAACGCGUGGGAACGUACCCCAAAGUGAGGGAUAACGCAUCGAAAGGUGUGCUAAUACCGCAUAUGGUCUUCGGAUUAAAGCCUUCGGGCGCUUUGGGAACGGCCUGCGUAAGAUUAGAUAGUUGGUGGGGUAAUGGCCUACCAAGUCGACGAUCUUUAACUGGUUUGAGAGGAUGAUCAGUCAGACUGGAACUGAGACACGGUCCAGACUCCUACGGGAGGCAGCAGUGAGGAAUCUUCCACAAUGGGCGAAAGCCUGAUGGAGCAACGCCGCGUGCAGGAUGAAGGCCUUCGGGUUGUAAACUGCUUUUAUAAGUGAGGAUUAUGACGGUAACUUAUGAAUAAGGAUCGGCUAACUACGUG